RNAcentral lists this long non-coding RNA (18238 nucleotides) under Triticum aestivum (bread wheat). RNAcentral describes it as "long non-coding RNA (TAES_LNC026982)". The stretch from base 1543 to 1629 matches the Rfam family "MIR1120/MIR1122 microRNA precursor family". Lineage: Eukaryota; Viridiplantae; Streptophyta; Magnoliopsida; Poales; Poaceae. The record is from RNAcentral.
UAAAAGCAAUCACACAAUUAUGAAUACAACUUUAGCAAAUAUGAAGCGAUAUCAGUUGGGAUGCAUAAAAUACGAAUGUUUCAACCUCACUCCGAAGGAGGACCAAAACUAAUUUUGCAAAAUAUAACUUGCUUUAUAUUCUAGGUACAGAGCAUUUGUCAGUCAGUCAUUUUUUCUCUUUUCUGGGAUAUAAUUUCUCACAACCAAGCUUUAGCCAACGCAAACAAAAGACCAUUAUCACCAUGCCAUAGAACAACAACUGACCAAACUGCCAUAGACAUAGAUGCCGUCAGGCGGGCACAAUACUAAAUGGAUACUGAGAUGCUAGCUCUAGGUAAAUAUACCACAACAAGAUAUGUUAAAUAUGGUUGUAACAUGCUCGAUACCAGAAUGUUAGCUGCCAAGGCUGAUCUAGAAUAUCAUCAAAAGCAGCCACCUCUCCCAGACCAUACUUAAUUUGAACAACAAAAUAGAGACCUCCCAAUAAAAUAGAGAAAAGCAAACGGUUAAUUAAUAUGCUGGAAAAAUCAAGAUGAUUAGGACACAUCUUGCAGAAACAUAUUGGUGAAAUAAUAAUCACGCAAAGAAUCAUGGAGAAAGAACUAUUGUCAGGAUCAUGAGGCUAACAAUUAAUUGCAUAGCUAGUAGUAGUAGUGGCCGAUUAACAGCUUAGUUGACCUGCAAGUAGACAUGGUAAAUCUGUUCGUCAGAUAGACAGUUCGUGUCCCACGGGCCUCUCCUCUCCUGCAGUGUCUUCUGGAGGGUAACCCCAUGACCGUGUGCGCCAAGUUCUUCAGCCUGAUCUGGCGGAGCUCCGGAGUGCCAUCUCCUCAGGCAGGCCCCCAUACUUAACACUUACACAAGGGUAUCUUCGCUGGUAAAAUAUAGGUAUUGUUUCUCAAAACAAUAAAGAAAAUAACAUUAAUAAUAUGCGAUCAUUUUAUAGUUUUGUAAAACAUACUGAAUUAGUGACAUUAUAUGGUCAUCUACUGUCAAAUGAAAUAAUUAUUUCCACCAAUAAAACGUUCAGGGUAUUGUCUAGUGGUGUGUAGAAAAAAGGAUUUUCAGCAUAAAUAGCGCCACGGUUACCUCAAGCGAGAGAGUAUCCAGUCAAUCUAUUGUUGUUUCAACAAACUAUGUGUCGUGGCCUUAGGAUAUCUUUGACUUGAGAAGCAGUUCCAUCAUCUGUUUUCCUAUUUGGUACUAAAGUGAUUUCCCCCGGUUUUGAGCUUGGUAAUUUAUUUUCCAGCUGAAGUCAUUAGAAAAAUGAAACUGUGUUACAUAACUUACAUUGAGGAUUACACUGCAAUUAAAGUGAUAUUAAGACUAUCUAUACAUUGUCAGCUAAAAAAUUAAGAUAUACUGGGAGGGCUACCAUGUUCUCCUAGAGAAGGCAUAAUUGGAAGAUGUGAAGUAGUUAUGUCCAGACUUGUAGAAAGCACAUAGGACGAAUGUUUGUAGUUACACCACAUAAUCUCGACCAAGCCGCAUGAGACUGAAUGUAUCAAGUAAACAUGCAAAUAAAAUGCACGUUGCUAUCAAGUACUCCCUCUGUGAACUAAUAUAAGAGGGUUUAGAUAACUAAAGUAGUGAUCUAAACACUCUUAUAUUAGUUUACGGAGGGAGUACUAAAAGUUUAUGUUCCUUGAUUCCUUCCUUGGAGAGUAAGCAGGUAUUCCACAAUUUAUUAUACAGAAGAAAAAAGGACAAUAUCAGCUAGAGCUCUCAUGUCCAAAAUAAAAUGGCCACAUAUAUCUACUUUGUGAUAAUCCCUGAUAUGCAAACUUGCAGCGAAGGAAAACUACGGCCUUCCCAACGUGAACCCUCUCCCUACUUCCCUCAGAGCCUCCCCCGAUUCGGUAUUCAAUGUCCAAAGCGGAGAUCUCCCGCCGGCGGUGGAGUCGCCAGCGGAGUCGCCUAAACCCUAAUCGAGAGGGUACUCUCACGCACACACCUGUAAGUGCAUCUAGUGCCACCCCUAGUUGGUUUUGGAGUAUUGACGACAAAGUUGGUUGAGGGACUAAUGCGUUUGUGAGAAUUGCAGGAUAACGCAGGUAGUGUCCCUCAUUGAUUCGGUUUACCUACCGGAGAUGACCCCUAAAAAUGUAUGAAGACAUUGAAGACAAUGAUGGUAUGAGAAGAUAUUCAUAUUGAAGACUAUGACAUGAGAAGACAUUGCGUGAAGACUAUGGAGCGCGAAGACUGUGUGGAUUCGUUGCUUCCUUUUCUUCUUUGUUGAGUCAUAGGAACCACCGUACUAAGUGGGGUCCAAGGGAACUAAGUCAGAGUGACUGAAGUGAUGCUCAACUCAAAUCCUAUGUCUUCGAGCGAAGACAAUGAGAGCAAACCUUAUCCAGAGCUGGAUGAGUCAGCUUUGCUUGUAGCCCAAGUAAAGUUGCCGUGUGUGUUUGAAAUCUGACCGUUGGAACACAUGUCAGUUCCUUAGUGACCCAGGGUCAUUUUGGACAAAUCAGGUCGGGUUGCCUAGUGGCUAUAAAUAGCCCACCCCCUACACCAUAAAUUGGUGGCUGCUCAGAGUUAGUAUACGGCUUUUGUCGUUUGAGAGCAACCCACCUCGAAGCAUUUGAGAGAGAGAAAUCCUUGCGAGGACAAAGCCCAAACACCCAGAGCCAAAGAGUGUUAGGCAUCACUGAAGUCUUUCUGUCUGUGUGACCUGAAGACUUACUACACUUGAGGACUGUGUAUCCUCCAGCCGGUUAGGCGUCGCGUUCUGAGCAUCCAAGAGUCAUUGUGGAUUGCCGGGUGAACGAAGUCUGUGAAGGUUUGGAAGUCUACCUUGAAGACUUACCAGAGUGAUUGGGCAAGGACUAAGUGACCUUAGCUCAAGGGGAAUAAGGUGAAGACACGGUCUUCUGAGUUGAAUCUCAGCCUCCCUAACCAGACGUACAGUUGUCACAGCAACUGGAACUGGUCCAACAAAUCCUGUGUCUUCAACAAGUGACUGGUUCUAUCUCUUCCCUCCUUUACCUUGAGUUUGUCUUCGUGAAGUCGUUGCUUAUCUGUCUUAUCUGGUUGACUUCAUUGCUUGACUACUAUUGUUGAUUGGCUUCAUACUAUCUUCCAUCCUGAUCCUGCUACCAAGCUGCUAUUAGUCUUCGUACGUUAACGCUAUUGCAUACUUGACUAUGGCUUGCUUGUUGUAGUUUAUCUUCCGCUACAUAUCAAUUAGGUCAUUUCUAUUGUUUGUCUUCGAAACUUCCACGUUUUGAAGACUUUGAUAAAAAUCGCCUAUUCACCCCCCCUCUAGUCGAUAACUAGCACUUUCAAUUGGUAUCAGAGCAAGGUACUCCCUUGUUCUGUGUGAUUCGGUUUAACCACCUGGAGUUUAGCUAUGUCGACUGCAGGGAUAAUCAAAGUCUCCGCUGCUUGCCCCGUGUUCGAUGGAACAGAAUAUCCCUACUGAAAGAAUAAGAUGCGCAUGCAUCUUGAAGCCAUUGAUGUCGACCUCUGGUAUGUCGUCAAGAAUGGCGUUCCCAAAACUGGUGAAGGUGUCACCCCUACUGAUGUCAAGAAGUUCAUUAAACUGGACUCGACUGCAAAGAACAUCAUCUGUGGUCAUCUGACCAAAGGACAGUAUAGCCGUGUGAGUGCUCUGGAAACGUCAAAGCUAGUCUGGGACUGGCUGUCCAAGGUCAAUGAAGGCGUCUCUACACAGAGAGACCAGAGGAUCAGUGUUCUUCGCAAUCUCUUCAAUCGCUUCAAGAGAAACGACAAUGAAAAUGUCCAGCUCACGUUUGAUCGCCUCACCGACAUCACAAAUGAGCUUCAGGCUCUCGACGCCACUGAGAUCACCAAGCAUGAAAUUGUCAAGACACUGUUGAGAUCACUUGACACCUCCUUUGACAUCCUUGCCCUCAUGAUACAAGAAUGUCCUGACUUCAAGACACUCGAUCCGUCUGAUAUACUUGAGAGGCUCAACACACAUGAGUUCCAGCUUUCUGAGAAAAGAGAUAUCUGUGGCCCCAACUAUGGCCGAACUCGUGCUUUGAAGGCAAAGGUUGUUUCCUCAUCUGAAGAAGAAGAAUCUGACUGCGGUUCUGACGAUCCUGAAGACAUUGGAAGGGAGCUUGCUAUGCUUGUGAAGAAGUUCUAGAAAUUCACCAAGAAGAAGGGCUUCAGAAAGUCUUCACGAUCCAGUUCAAGAAAUGAUGAAGCUUCCACUCAAGACAACAAGAAGAGAACAUGUCACAAGUGUAAGAAGCCUGUGCACUACAUCUCUGAGUGUCCUCAGUGGGACAACGAGAAGAAGAAGAAGAAGAAGAGCAAGGAAUAUGACUCCGAUGACAAGAAGAAGAAGAAAUCUUCGAAGUCUUCUUCCAAGUCCUCAUCAAGGUCUUAAUCUCACAAGAAGAGCUCAUCUGGCAAGGCUCGUGCUUUUGUUGGCAAGGAAAUGGAUUCAGAGGAGGAGUCUGCCUCUGAGGAGGCAGAGGUGGAAUCUGAAGCUGAGUCCGACUCUGGUGUUGCAAGUCUGGCUCUGGCCACAGCCUACGUCGCAAAGUCCAUCUUCAACACUGAAGACAAUGACUCCCACACCAAUGCUGAUGAUGACAAGGACGAUCCUGCUCCCACCUAAUGCUUCAUGGCACGCGGUGCCAAGGUAAAAUCGCGCGAUGCUUACUUUCAAACAUCAAGUGAAGAUGACUUUGAUUGUGAAUCUAAACCCAGCUACAAAACACUUGCUAAAAUUGCUACUGAACAACAAAGGGCUAUGGAACAUACUCAAAAACUGUUAGACAAAAGCGAUGACCUGUUGGACGCGGAAAUGACACGUUCACAGUCCUUAGUUGAAGACAUAAAAAAUCUUCAUGCUAAGUAUCAAGAACUUGAAAGUCUUCAUGAGACGCUCUCAACCACUUAUGAAAAGCUCUCCUAUGAUUAUCUUCAAAGGAAGCAAGAGCUUGAGAAACUGAAAGUGACUCAUGAAGAUCUUCAAAAAGAGAACGAUUCAUUACUUGCUCAACAGAUCAGUCCCGCUCAGGAUGAAUUUGAACCACCAUGCUUAAAAUGCAUUGAGCGUGAUAACGCUGCCUCUGUUGCUGAAUGUUCCACUGCUGCUACUGUUGCUUUGUCUUCAACUACUGAUGUGGUAACUAACCCCUCUUCUGAGGAUACCACUACUAUUGCUGAUGAAAAUGCUAGGUUGAAGACAUUGCUUGAAACAGGAAUGUAUAAAAGUCUGAGAGGGCAUCAGACACUUUGUGAUGUCCUCAAAAAGCAGAUUCUGAACCGAAACCCUAGGAAAGAGGGUGUUGGGUUCGAGAGGAAAAUGAAUGCUGAUGGUUCCUACUGGAAGCCUGAGCAGUAUCCCAAACCUUCAGUGGAUCCAUCUACUUUAUCUGGAUUUACCUAUGCUAAUCCUAUUAUCAUUGAUGAAUCCUUUGAUGCAAACUAUAAACUGUUCAAAAAUCAGAAUGGUGAAGUGUUUGCCAGGUAUAUUGGUACUAACUGCAGGAAUGGACCUCCUAUGAAGAAGAUCUAGGUUCCCAAAAGCUGCCUUGAGAAUCUUUCAGUGAAUGUCAUCAUGACACCACCAGGGAAGAAGACAAACCCCAGACCAAAGGCAUCAUAUGGUCCAACGGCUGCAUACGAACACAGGACUCAAUUGAGUCACCCUAACGCCAAUGUUUUGCAGGGAAAUCAUACUCAGACUCAUGAAUAUGAGCGUGUGUCUUCAAACCGCUAUGUUCAUAGCACUAAAAACUUUUCUGCUUAUUCACAUGAGUAUCAUUCACCUCCUGCAAGGCUAUUUGCUAGGGCUUCAAAGCCGAAAUUCUCAGAUGCUGCACUUAGACUCAUUGCUUCUAAGCCACCCCUGAAAAUAUGGGUGGUGAAGAAGAAUUAACUCUCUUUUGCAGAAUGUGGUCUCUAGCCAGCAAUCAAUGGCGUCCGAUAUAAUUGCUGGGGACCUAAAACACAAAGGGACGCAUGAUAAAAUGACUUACUAUGUAUUCCACAUAUGAAUCACUUACCUGUCAUACUGUGUGCUAACUUUCAUCUAUGCUGUGAUAAUCCAUGUAUGCAACAACUGCUUAUGCUUCACAACAUACCUUGUGAAGCCUAUCCUCCUAACUGCACUAUAGGGCAUGUCACCAAAAGCUUCAGAAUGGAUUAUUGACAGCGGAUGCACUAAUCAUAUGACUGGUGAUCGAAGUCUUCUCAUGGACUCAACCUUACGUCCAUCCGACAAGAGUCAAAUCACAUUUGCUGACACUGGUAAAGGCAAGGUAUUGGGUCUAGGUAGAGUUGCAAUCUCAAAGGAUCAACACAUGGAUAAAGUGAUGCUUGUUGAAUCCCUUGGAUUCAACUUAAUGUCUGUCUCAAUGCUUUGUGACUUAAACAUGAUUGUGAUAUUUGGAAAAUAUCGUUGCCUUGUACUAAUGGAAUCUGACAAGUCUCUAGUCUUUGAAGGGUAUAGGAAAGGUGAUCUAUACAUGGUAGAUUUCUCAGCAGGUCCACAGCUUGCCAUAUGUCUUCUUGUAAAAGCUUCAGAAUGCUGGCUUUGGCAUCGAAGGCUAGGGCACGCUGGCAUGAGGAACUUGCACACUCUCGUCAAGAAGAAGCAUGUCAUAGGCAUCGAAGGUGUCAAGUUCAAGAAAGAUCAUUUGUGUGGUGCUUAUGAAGCUGGAAAGAUGACAAGGGCAAAGCACCCCUCGAAGACAAUCAUGACCACGUCUCAACCCUUCGAGCUGCUACACAUGAACUUAUUUGGACCUACUCAUUACUCCACCCUGACAACAACGGCGUGUCUCUAUGGCUUCGUCAUUGUUGAUGACUACUCAAGAUACACAUGGGUUCAUAUAAUUCUCUACAAGACUGAAGUACAAGAUGUCUUCAGACGAUUCGCCAAUCGAGCAAUGAACAAUUAUGGCGUCAAGAUCAAGCAUAUCAGAAGUGAUAACGGCACUGAAUUCAAGAACACCGGGCUUGAUCUUUAUCUGGAUACAAUGGGAAUCACUCAUGAAUUUUCUGCUCCAUACACACCUCAGCAAAACGGCAUUGUAGAGUGCAAGAACAGAACCCUCAUCGAGAUGGCUCGAACAAUGCUUGACGAGUACAAGACACCAAGAAAGUUCUGGCCUCAAGCCAUUGAUACAGCUUGUCACAUCAUCAACCGUGUCUACAUCCAUAAGCUUCUGGGCAAAACAUCAUAUGAGCUCCUUACUGGCAAGAAGCCAAAUGUCAGUUACUUCAGAGUCUUUGGAGCUAGGUGCUGGAUCAAGGAUCCCCAUCACAAGUCAAAAUUUAAACCCAAAGCUCACGAAGGCUUCAUGCUUGGCUAUGGAAAGGAUUCGCACUCUUACAGAGUCUUCAACCUCUUCCACUACAAAAUCGUUGAAACAGUGGAUAUGCGAUUUGAUGAAACCAAUGGUUCACAACGAGAGCUCCUGCCAAACACACUUGAUGAAGCUCCUUCCUGUGAAUCUAUCAAGCUGAUGGGAACUGGUGAAAUCAUGCCCUCUGAAGCACAGCCUGAAGAGGAACUUAUCAUUUCUGCACCAAACCAACUUGAAGACAAUGCUCAGGCUGAAGACAAUACUUCCAAUGAUGACAAUGGUCAGCAUGAGCAAGGUCUUCGUCCAGUUCAUCAUCGUGUUGCAAAUGAAGUACAAAUUGAGAAGAUAAUUGACAGCAACAAUGCGCCUGGUCCGCUUACUCGCUCAAGAGCAACAUAGUUAGCAAACUUCUGUGGGCACUUUUCAUUUGUGUCAAUAUCAGAACCCAAGAAAGUUGCUGAAGCUUUUAUGGAACCUGAAUGGAUUCAAGCCAUGCAAGAAGAACUUCAACAGUUCAAGCUGAAUAAUGUUUGGGAACUUGUCAAGGGACCUGACCCUCGCAAGCAUAACAUUAUAGGAACAAAGUGGAUAUAUCGAAACAAGCAAGAUGAGCAUGGUCAAGUCGUCAGAAACAAAGCACGUCUUGUGGCUCAAGGAUAUACUCAAGUUGAAGGAAUUGACUUCGAUGAAACAUUUGCUCCUGUUGCUAGACUUGAAGCUAUUUGCAUACUGCUAGCCUACGCUAAUCAUCACAACAUCUUGCUAUAUCAAAUGGAUUUGUAGAGUGCAUUUCUCAAUGGCAAGAUUGAAGAAGAAGUAUAUAUCGCUCAACCACCUGGCUUUCAAGAUCCAAAACAUCCUGAUAUGGUGUACAAGCUGAACAAAGCACUGUAUGGCCUCAAACAAGCUCCUCGUGCCUGGUAUGAUACAAUCAAAGACUUCCUAAAGAGCAAAGGCUUCAAACCUGGAUCCCUCGAUCCCACACUCUUCACGAAGACAUAUGAUGGUGAACUGUUUGUGUGCCAAUAUAUGUGGAUGACAUAAUCUUCGGCUGCACCAACCAGAAGUACAGUGAUGAGUUUGGGUACAUGAUGCAAGAGCAAUAUCAAAUGUCCAUGAUGGGUGAGCUAAAGUUUUUCCUUGGUCUUCAAAUUCGUCAGCAACGAAAUGGCAUCUUCAUAUCUCAAGAAAAAUACCUCAAAGAUUGUCUGAAGAAGUUUGGAAUGGAAGACCGCAAAGGCUACACGACGCCAAUGCCAGCCAAACACCAUCUUGGUCCCGACGACAAUGGUAAAGCGUUCGAUCAAAAGGUAUACCGCUCCAUGAUUGGUUCUUUGCUUUAUUUAUGUGCAUCUAGGCCAGAUAUUAUGCUUAGUGUUUGCAUGUGUGCUCGAUUCCAAGCGGCACCAAAGGAAUCGCAUCACUUAGCUGUGAAGCGAAUUCUUCGAUAUUUGGCUUACACCCCAACACUUGGAUUAUGGUAUCCAAAGGGCUCAAGGUUUGACCUAGUUCGAUUCUCGGAUGUUGAUUAUGCUGGUGACAAGGUGGAUCGCAAGUCAACAUCAGGCACAUGUCAUUUUCAUGGUGAAUCACUUGUCUGUUGGUCUUCAAAGAAGUAGAACUGUGUAUCACUCUCAACUGCUGAAUCUGAAUACAUUGCUGCUGGAUCCUGUUGUGCUCAGCUUCUAUGGAUGAAGCAAACUUUCAAGGAUUAUGGCAUCAACCUGAAACAAGUACCUCUCUUCUGCGACAACGAAAGUGCCAUCAAGAUAGCCAACAAUCCAGUCCAGCACUCGAAGACAAAACACAUUGAAAUACGUCAUCACUUUCUCAGAGAUCAUGUUAUGAAGAAAGAUAUAGAUAUCAUGCACGUCAACACUGAAAAGCAACUGGCAUAUAUCUUCACAAAGCCCUUGGAUGAGAAAAGGUUUUGCAAGUUACGGUGUGAGCUAAAUAUCUUGAAAUCCUCAAAUGUCCUGUGAUCAGGCACACAUCCUAACACUUAUGCAUGUUGAUGACUUAGAUGUGCAACACACAAAAUAAUGUAUAUCUUCAAUCAAUGAAGAUUUACAAUCUGAGUGUGAAUACAUUAACAUGGAAUUUGACUUCGGAGCGCCACGAUAAUUGUGCGCCGUGUCUGGGUCUAAUACUUCCUAUACGGUGGGUAACGCCACCACCAAAUUUCUCUGUUUGAAGUGUUUCAUUCAUGGCGUUACUUUUGCAAAGACUUCAUAUUUGGUUUGUCUUCAGUUUCAAUUUAUCUUCAUGAUUUUCUGCGCUAUGAUGAGUUNNNNNNNNNNNNNNNNNNNNNNNNNNNNNNNNNNNNNNNNNNNNNNNNNNNNNNNNNNNNNNNNNNNNNNNNNNNNNNNNNNNNNNNNNNNNNNNNNNNNNNNNNNNNNNNNNNNNNNNNNNNNNNNNNNNNNNNNNNNNNNNNNNNNNNNNNNNNNNNNNNNNNNNNNNNNNNNNNNNNNNNNNNNNNNNNNNNNNNNNNNNNNNNNNNNNNNNNNNNNNNNNNNNNNNNNNNNNNNNNNNNNNNNNNNNNNNNNNNNNNNNNNNNNNNNNNNNNNNNNNNNNNNNNNNNNNNNNNNNNNNNNNNNNNNNNNNNNNNNNNNNNNNNNNNNNNNNNNNNNNNNNNNNNNNNNNNNNNNNNNNNNNNNNNNNNNNNNNNNNNNNNNNNNNNNNNNNNNNNNNNNNNNNNNNNNNNNNNNNNNNNNNNNNNNNNNNNNNNNNNNNNNNNNNNNNNNNNNNNNNNNNNNNNNNNNNNNNNNNNNNNNNNNNNNNNNNNNNNNNNNNNNNNNNNNNNNNNNNNNNNNNNNNNNNNNNNNNNNNNNNNNNNNNNNNNNNNNNNNNNNNNNNNNNNNNNNNNNNNNNNNNNNNNNNNNNNNNNNNNNNNNNNNNNNNNNNNNNNNNNNNNNNNNNNNNNNNNNNNNNNNNNNNNNNNNNNNNNNNNNNNNNNACUAGCGUUCUGUCCUCUACAGCAUUCACUUAUAGCUAUGUCUUCAAGUUGAAUCUUUUGAACUAAGUGAAUGUGGUCGGACCCUAACCCCUCUAUGCUUUCUAUCUCAAACUCUAUCUGUCCAAAUCAUAUGCAUUCUAUUGAAACUGUCGAAUGUCUUCUCUGCGUCCUAGUCAAUAGAAGGCAAAGAGACAAACAUUAAAUUUGUUUUAAAUGACUUAUCUUUAUUGUUGAAAUCCGGUGAAGCCGGAACAACUCUCCGACAUGCCUGGCGGCGUGGGAACGUGGGACAAUUCUAAGUAUGUUGCAUGCUUGCCAUGUACCCCUCAGGCGUGAACCGCCAGGGGCACCAGCGUAAUUGCGCUGUGUCUCUCACCUACUUAUAAAUACUUGUCCCCUGCGGUAAAGAAAUCCUUCUUCCACCUCUCCACCUCCGUCAAAACCCUAGCGCCACCGCUAGCUCGCGACGACGCCGUCGACGAAGCGCUUAGCUGCCGCGACUUCUCCGACGCCGUCCUCACACCGGCUGCGGACAUCGUCCUCUCCGCCGUCGCCGUAGGUGUCCUCCGUCGCCAAGUUAAGGCACGGUGGGCUGAACUGCUCGGUCUCUCAUUCUUCCCAUCUAGCAGUUCGUCGUGCGGUAAUUAUAACUCUAUUUUUACCACCUUUUUGAUCUUCAUAGAUUCAUCCUUCUUACCGAAAGUGGUUUCUACCUACUCAAUGUUAGAUCUAUUCUGUCUGCAUCUCAUAAUGCCUAGUCUAUUCACUUAGAUUUCCUAUCUAGUUUGAUUCCUCACUUGUACUUAUUCACGGAUUGGUACAAAUCUGGAACCAACUCACCACAUAUAAGUGAAUGUCUUCGCAUCAUGAGGUCAAUGUCUUCAAACUGAUUUAUCUUCAAAAUCUUCUGAGAAUGCAUAUGACCUCUUCCCCUUCCCUCGCAUCUCUAAUGCUGUCACAGGUACAUGUCCGUGGGAGAAUCCCUUGGUUCUCAUAGUCUGCAUUCGUUUGCAGAAUACUUACAGCAUCAUAUAAAUUCUCCUGAAGCCAGUUCCUGCUUGACCAGCAAGCGUAAAUCUCUGAAGCCUCUGAACGUACUGAAGCCAUUCAACUUGAAGUUCAUGGCUGCAGAAAAAUCAGCAAGGAAGGGUGGCAGACAGCGUCGUGUGGGAACUUCAAAGGAUCUGCCUGAGGAUCUGGCAGAAAUGUAUAAAACAGAUCCUGAAGAAGAUUACAAUCAGCGCAAGACUCGAAUCCAAUGGAUUCGACGCUAUUGGGCUGAACAGUGGUACAAGUACAAGUUCGUCACCCAGGAGUACGCAGAGAAAAAUGCAAUGCUAUCAAGAGCCCUCGGGGUGAUAUUCUCUAUCGAGGCCUUCCCCCAAAGAACAAAGCUGAAGCCAUUGCGCAAGAAUUCUAUCCUUGCAUGGUCCGUGGGCCACAGCCUGAAGAAGCCGACCCAUCAUCAUUGCUCUGGUGUCGUGACGACAAUCUCUUCAAGCGCAACUUCCAGUUUGCUAAGGCUUCAGCAAAGGAAAACAAGAAGUCACGGGGAUUAGACUUCAAUCCUGGUCCCUCUGCUCCCCGUGAUGAUGGCACACGUGGAGCUGAAGAAAACAGAAUUGGCCCCUUUGCAAACCUUGAUGGCCUCAUCAAUUACAUCUUGGUCCAAGGUGCCAAGGUAGAUCAUACUGAUAAUGAUGCUGAGCAUGAUGAAGCCUUUGCCACGUGAUGCUGAAUAUCCAACAGAGUUCUUUGUUGAAGACCUUGAGUAUCUGCCACGCACCAUAUAUCACAUCAUUAGGCGAACUCUAUGGCCUAUCAAAGGACAUUCAUCAGCGGCAAAGCUUGAAGGAGCUAUGAAGACUUUGGUCUUCUGCAUUCUCAAUGGCAUCAGCUUCAAUGCGCAAGACUUCUUCAUCAGGCAACUUGCUGCUUCCGGCUCUGACCUAUUUGGUCUGAAGUUUUAUGCUCCAUGGGUCAUGCGCCUCAUCAAGCGACACUCAUCUGUCAACUAUCAACCAUCUGCUCGCAAUCAUGUGAUUUUUCUACCAGAGGUUGAUAUGUCAGUUGAAGCUAUAUACCCUGAACCUGCCAAGAAGCCUCUUUGUCUUCAGAAUGCCGAGCACCAAAGCUUCACUCAACCCAUUGAAGGUGUUCAAGCAGCGACUCGAAUCUAUCCUUUGGCUGGAAAUACUUGUCUGCCUCAUCGAGCACCUACUGAAGCCACUGAAAGCACCAUUGCCCAAAGGCCUCAGAAGCAUUCUCGCGUUCUCAAUGACCGAGAACUUCUUGUGGCCCUUCAUCAGAAACAGGAUAAGCAUCAUUUCUGGCUCAAGAGACAGAUGCAAAGCAUCUUGGUGGAUGUCAAUCGCAUUCACAACCUUGCCACCAAGAAUGCCUUUGUUGCUCAUGAAACUUGCCGGCGAUCAUGGAAGAGCUUGACCCUGCUUAGUGCUGAAGCAGAUCUUCAAGACAAUGGCUUCAAUGAACGAUUCCAGUUUGACUCCACUCCUCCACGGACUGCUGUCCUACGUCGUACUCCAUCUCUUGAAGAUUCUGAAUAUUCUUCCUCCGCGGCAAUAGUAAAUGCCAGAGUGAUCGAUGAUGAAGAUGAUGCUACUUCACCACCUCCUACUUCUGCAUGCAUCGACACUGCACCAAGUUCAUCUGCACCGCCAAACGACAACGACAACCCUACUGCUUCAACUACUCCUCGUGAGGACGAGUAGAUGCUCUAUGUCUUCAAACCUUUUUGGUCAUUACUGACAAAAGGGGGAGAAGCGUAUGAGUUUGAUAGUCUUCAAGCGGGUUCAUAUGGGCGGUUGCAUUAUAUUUUUGCCUCGUGCUUACAACUCUUUCUUUUUGAAAACAUUUGGUUUUUUGAGUUGUAACACCUAAACUUGAUGGUCGUCUGCUACUUGUUUGCUUUACUGUGAUGCGAUGAUAAAUUCCGCAUGUGCGAUGAUAACUUCCGCACUUAGAUCAUCCUGUAGACGUCCAUUUUUCAUUAUGCAUGUCAUCCUAUAAGCUAUAUCAUUUCAUGCAUGAUGAAUUAUCUUCAUAAGUUGAAGUGGAUCUCCACAAGUACAACCUGCCAUGUGCAUUUGCAUUCCAAAAGCAAAAUUACUUAUAUGCACAUCUUCAGGGGGAGCCCUUGCUACUUAUGAAGACUAUUUCCUAUCCUUACAAUUUCACAUAUUUAUCCCCAUUGAAAACUUCAACCAGUUUGUCAUCAAUCACCAAAAAGGGGGAGAUUGUAAGUGCAUCUAGUGCCACCCCUAGUUGGUUUUGAAGUAUUGACGACAAAGUUGGUUGAGGGACUAAUGCGUUUGUGAGAAUUGCAGGAUAACGCAGGUUGUGUCCCUCAUUGAUUUGGUUUACCUACCGGAGAUGACCCCUAAAAAUGUAUGAAGACAUUGAAGACAAUGGUGGUAUGAGAAGAUAUUCAUAUUGAAGACUAUGACAUGAGAAGACAUUGCGUGAAGACUAUGGAGCGCGAAGACUGUGUGGAUCCGUUGCUUCCUUUUCUUCUUUGUUGAGUCAUAGGAACCAUCGUACUGUUAAGUGGGGUCCAAGUGAACUAAGUCAGAGUGACUGAAGUGAUGCUCAACUCAAAUCCUAUGUCUUCGAGCGAAGACAAUGAGAGCAAACCUUAUCCAGAGCUGGAUGAGUCAGCUUUGCUUGUAGCCCAAGUAAAGUUGCCGCGUGUGUUUGAAAUCUGACCGUUGGAACACGUGUCAGUUCCUUAGUGACCCAGGGUCAUUUUGGACAAAUCAGGUCGGGUUUCCUAGUGGCUAUAAAUAGCCCACCCCUACACCAUAAAUUGGUGGCUGCUCAGAGUUAGUAUACGGCUUUUGUCGUUUGAGAGCAACCCACCUCGAAGCAUUUGAGAGAGAGAAAUCCUUGCGAGGACAAAGCCCAAACACCCAGAGCCAAAGAGUGUUAGGCAUCACUGAAGUCUUUUUGUCUGUGUGACCUGAAGACUUAUUACACUUGAGGACUGUGUAUCCUCCAGCCGGUUAGGCGUCGCGUUCUGAGCAUCCAAGAAUCAUUGUGGAUUGCCGGGUGAACGAAGUCUGUGAAGGUUUGGAAGUCUACCUUGAAGACUUACCAGAGUGAUUGGGUGAGGACUAAGUGACCUUAGCUCAAGGGGAAUAAGGUGAAGAUACGGUCUUUUGAGUUGAAUCUCAGCCUCCCUAACCAGACGUACAGUUGUCACAGCAACCGGAACUGGUUCAACAAAUCCUGUGUCUUCAACAAGUAACUGGUUCUAUCUCUUCCCUCCUUUACCUUGAGUUUGUCUUCGUGAAGUCGUUGCUUAUCUGUCUUAUCUGAUUGACUUCAUUGCUUGACUACUAUUGUUGAUUGGCUUCAUACUAUCUUCCAUCCUGAUCCUGCUACCAAGCUGCUAUUAGUCUUCGUACGUUAACGCUAUUGCAUACUUGACUAUGGCUUGCUUGUUAUAGUUUAUCUUCCGCUGCAUAUCAAUUAGGUUAUUUCUAUUGUUUGUCUUCGAAACUUCCACGUUUUUGAAGACUUUGAUAAAAAUCGCCUAUUCACCCCCCCUCUAGUCAAUAACUAGCAGUUUCAACACCGCUUUACCAGAGACGUAGAACUCGCAAGCAGCGUGAAUGGAUGGUAGAAAUGGUUCAGCCCAAUACUGUACGCCACACAAAAAUCUUCAGGCGAGACGGGAGUUAUGCUCGCUAUAAGCGAGAUACAGUUCUUGCAAGUUUGUACGUCCGUGUUGAAUUAUAGAUAAGCCAACCCAUACUAGAAGCAGCCGCGCGUGUUGCUGCGCCGUUUUCUUUGUUGCGUUUUUUCAUUGACCAUCCACUCAUCGAACUAUUACGAUGAUACAUCGAAGAUAUUUGUCUUGCGAUGAUGUGUCAAAAGUAUGUCGCGCAUGACAGUAUCCUUGGUUGCACUCUUUUUUGUCCUAAAUAUUGGUUACAUAUGUGAACUGCGAACAAUUAUAUUGCUUGCUCGUUUUGUAAAACUAUCAAGUAUCUACCAGGCGGUCUAAAAGCAAUCACACAAUUAUGAAUACAACUUUAGCAAAUAUGAAGCGAUAUCAGUUGGGAUGCAUAAAAUACGAAUGUUUCAACCUCACUCCGAAGGAGGACCAAAACUAAUUUUGCAAAAUAUAACUUGCUUUAUAUUCUAGGUACAGAGCAUUUGUCAGUCAGUCAUUUUUUCUCUUUUCUGGGAUAUAAUUUCUCACAACCAAGCUUUAGCCAACGCAAACAAAAGACCAUUAUCACCAUGCCAUAGAACAACAACUGACCAAACUGCCAUAGACAUAGAUGCCGUCAGGCGGGCACAAUACUAAAUGGAUACUGAGAUGCUAGCUCUAGGUAAAUAUACCACAACAAGAUAUGUUAAAUAUGGUUGUAACAUGCUCGAUACCAGAAUGUUAGCUGCCAAGGCUGAUCUAGAAUAUCAUCAAAAGCAGCCACCUCUCCCAGACCAUACUUAAUUUGAACAACAAAAUAGAGACCUCCCAAUAAAAUAGAGAAAAGCAAACGGUUAAUUAAUAUGCUGGAAAAAUCAAGAUGAUUAGGACACAUCUUGCAGAAACAUAUUGGUGAAAUAAUAAUCACGCAAAGAAUCAUGGAGAAAGAACUAUUGUCAGGAUCAUGAGGCUAACAAUUAAUUGCAUAGCUAGUAGUAGUAGUGGCCGAUUAACAGCUUAGUUGACCUGCAAGUAGACAUGGUAAAUCUGUUCGUCAGAUAGACAGUUCGUGUCCCACGGGCCUCUCCUCUCCUGCAGUGUCUUCUGGAGGGUAACCCCAUGACCGUGUGCGCCAAGUUCUUCAGCCUGAUCUGGCGGAGCUCCGGAGUGCCAUCUCCUCAGGCAGGCCCCCAUACUUAACACUUACACAAGGGUAUCUUCGCUGGUAAAAUAUAGGUAUUGUUUCUCAAAACAAUAAAGAAAAUAACAUUAAUAAUAUGCGAUCAUUUUAUAGUUUUGUAAAACAUACUGAAUUAGUGACAUUAUAUGGUCAUCUACUGUCAAAUGAAAUAAUUAUUUCCACCAAUAAAACGUUCAGGGUAUUGUCUAGUGGUGUGUAGAAAAAAGGAUUUUCAGCAUAAAUAGCGCCACGGUUACCUCAAGCGAGAGAGUAUCCAGUCAAUCUAUUGCUGUUUCAACAAACUAUGUGUCGUGGCCUUAGGAUAUCUUUGACUUGAGAAGCAGUUCCAUCAUCUGUUUUCCUAUUUGGUACUAAAGUGAUUUCCCCCGGUUUUGAGCUUGGUAAUUUAUUUUCCAGCUGAAGUCAUUAGAAAAAUGAAACUGUGUUACAUAACUUACAUUGAGGAUUACACUGCAAUUAAAGUGAUAUUAAGACUAUCUAUACAUUGUCAGCUAAAAAAUUAAGAUAUACUGGGAGGGCUACCAUGUUCUCCUAGAGAAGGCAUAAUUGGAAGAUGUGAAGUAGUUAUGUCCAGACUUGUAGAAAGCACAUAGGACGAAUGUUUGUAGUUACACCACAUAAUCUCGACCAAGCCGCAUGAGACUGAAUGUAUCAAGUAAACAUGCAAAUAAAAUGCACGUUGCUAUCAAGUACUCCCUCUGUGAACUAAUAUAAGAGGGUUUAGAUAACUAAAGUAGUGAUCUAAACACUCUUAUAUUAGUUUAUGGAGGGAGUACUAAAAGUUUAUGUUCCUUGAUUCCUUCCUUGGAGAGUAAGCAGGUAUUCCACAAUUUAUUAUACAGAAGAAAAAAGGACAAUAUCAGCUAGAGCUCUCAUGUCCAAAAUAAAAUGGCCACAUAUAUCUACUUUGUGAUAAUCCCUGAUAUGCAAACUUGCAGCAUAAUCAAAAUAGCACUAUAUGAAAAUGGUUAUAUUUUUGAAAUUGUUGCACGGAAGCUUCGACAGUAUAAGCAAAGAUAAAUGCACACCUUCCUGCAUAUCUCCCAAACCUGCAUAGUUCAGACAAUAGCCAAUUAGUGCGAGACCUACAAUCGUUUAUACCUAACAGUUCAGCUAACUAAGAGCAGUGUGAAGGAACUACUCCCUCCAUUCAUUUUUGUAAGACGUUUUGGACAGCUGACAUUGAGCUGUUUUGUGCCCUGUCUGAAUUGUCUAAACAUCUUAUAAAAGGGAACAGAGGGAGCAUAUGUUUAAAGAAUACAGAAGAAAGAAUGUAUAAAUACAACCAUACAUAAGCAUAUUAAAGUAACUCACCAUAUAUUUAAAGGAACCCACCAUUUCUCAUCUUCACUAUGUACAACUUAAACUCAAGUAACAACUGCAAAGUUUUCAUGGGAUUGUGAGAGGGCAACAAAUGCCUAGAAUCAGAUGAGAAAAUGCUAGUGUAAUGGUACAAUUAAGAAGACUAUAACCGCAGCCAUAGAGUAAUCCAGAUCUAAGUAUGAAGUUUUAUAGAGGAUAAACAGUGAAGAUGUUCACUUCAGAGAAUAAUUUCACAAGUGUAGGUACGUAUUGAUCAACUUUUCGUGGGCCUCACUUUGGCCAAGAUAUAGAAAAUCAAGCUCCUCAAAUAGGCAAGUUCCGAAGUCUCAAAGCUUGAUAAGUUGAUCAAGUAAACAUAGAGCCAAAGUGAGGCAUCCAGAAAUAUUUGAUGGAGCAUCUCAAUAAGUGAUUCGUACACCAAAUCGGUAGAUUACAGCUGUAGCCCACACCAUUUAAUCACUACGUCCAAAAAAGCAAAAAUAAAAUAAAAUUGUAGCCCGAAUCACGCAUACAACACUAAUUUCUGCGGAUAAAAUAACACACUCCAAAAUAAUCUCAUAACAUAUACUACUUUUCACGUUCGGGUAAUCAAAAUGAAAUGAAACUAAGGUAUCAACACUGUUUAAAAUACUUGAGAUUGUCUUUUAAGGCGAAACAUUAGUGUGGAAAUUACUCCCGACGGAAGUACUUCUCAGUUCCUUGGUAUGAAAAAGGAACUUUUUGAUGUGGAUACAUUUUCCCCCUCUGCUAUAAAAAUUAUGUCCCCAAUGAUUCAUCAUUUACCU